RNAcentral lists this long non-coding RNA (1056 nucleotides) under Anas platyrhynchos platyrhynchos (common mallard). RNAcentral describes it as "lncRNA (ENSAPLG00000017563.1)". The record is from RNAcentral. Lineage: Eukaryota; Metazoa; Chordata; Aves; Anseriformes; Anatidae.
AUGGAAAGAAGCAAAAUGAACCCAGAGCCCCAGAGCCCAGCACCCAAACCAGGCACUCGGAGCUGGGGGCAGGAGCCACCGGGCAGGGCGGGAGGAGGAGGGAGGCUCCGCAGCCAGCACGGUGCUGCCCAGGGCCCGGGGAGCCAGAGGCACCACGAACGCCCUUCUCCAUCCUCCCCUUUGUGCCCCGGACACUGCCUGUGGAGGCAGCGCUGCUUGGGUGCAGUCAGACCCUCACACGAGCACCCUGGCCCCUGCCAGCUGUGGUGCCCAUGGCAGAACCGGCACCAGCACCCUUCCCAGCCAAACCCUGCAUGCACCACAGGCACCCCAAAACUGCCCCCUUUGCCCGGUGAGGGCUGUGGGAGCAGCGGGAGGUCUGACCACGGUGCUGUGUUGCAGGCAGCACGGUGCAGGUCGGUCACUGCACCCACACCACAGCGUGAGCCCCGCCGAGCCGUGGCCAUCCCUGCUGCCCUGCGCGGGGCUGUGUGUGCCCAGCACACCCUCACCUCCCUCCGUGUGUCUGCUGCACCCAUCCCACACGGGUAAAAGGUGGGGGCUGAAGCCGGCCAGUGUUUUAUGUGGUAUUAACAAGUCCCCCAAGAUCAGGCACAAAGUGGGCUGGGGCUCAGGGCUGGGGCUGUUGAGAGCUGAAGAAGCCGUGUGGCUGCCCCGUCCUGCGGCUGAGCCCUCCUCAUCCUCAUCCUGCACUGCCGGAGCCAGGGAAUGGAUCUGUCCGUGCAGCUGCAGGUCCCUGCUUAUCUGCCCCCCAAAACAGAGGAAUGUUUCCUUGUUGUGUCAAAUUUAAUUACGUCCCUGUACUGGAGGUGCAAUGCUGGAGAUGUUUGCAAUUGAUUUUAUUUGACAAAUUACUCUGGUGUUCCGUGUGUUCCUUAUCUGCAGCUGCAGAAAGAUGACCAUGCUGGCCUACCCCACAGCACAUCAAAGCACUUGGGAGGACAAAUCCUGCAGCAGCAUGCGGUCAGAACAACAUCAGCCUGCUGGCACCGAGCUGCAUUUUGUUAAGCUCUAGCUAACAGUGUAAAAAAAUUA